GCUCCCGUAGCUCAAUUGGAUAGAGCGUCGGCCUCCGAAGCCGAAGGUUACAGGUUCAAAUCCUGUCGGGUGCA
Molecule: transfer RNA, 74 nt
Filed under: Planctomycetota bacterium
Lineage: Bacteria; Pseudomonadati; Planctomycetota
Description: Planctomycetes bacterium (freshwater metagenome) tRNA-Arg
Rfam family: tRNA
About the family: Transfer RNA (tRNA) molecules are approximately 80 nucleotides in length.
Source: RNAcentral